GACGAACGCUGGCGGCGUGCUUAACACAUGCAAGUCGAACGCUGAAGCUCAGCUUUUGUUGGGUGGAUGAGUGGCGAACGGGUGAGUAACACGUGAGUAACCUGCCCCCUUCUUUGGGAUAACGCCCGGAAACGGGUGCUAAUACUGGAUAUUCACUGGUCUUCGCAUGGGGGUUGGUGGAAAGGGUUUUUCUGGUGGGGGAUGGGCUCGCGGCCUAUCAGCUUGUUGGUGGGGUGAUGGCCUACCAAGGCUUUGACGGGUAGCCGGCCUGAGAGGGUGACCGGUCACAUUGGGACUGAGAUACGGCCCAGACUCCUACGGGAGGCAGCAGUGGGGAAUAAUGCACAAUGGGCGCAAGACUGAUGCAGCGACGCCGCGUGAGGGAUGGAGGCCUUCGGGUUGUGAACCUCUUUCGCUCAUGGUCAAGCCGCAACAAUGGUUGUGGUGAGGGUAGUGGGUAAAGAAGCGCCGGCUAACUACGUG
RNAcentral lists this ribosomal RNA (483 nucleotides) under uncultured bacterium. RNAcentral describes it as "partial 16S ribosomal RNA". It matches the Rfam family "Bacterial small subunit ribosomal RNA", at positions 28 to 507 of the family's 1533-position model. The record is from RNAcentral.